RNAcentral lists this transfer RNA (66 nucleotides) under Luvarus imperialis (luvar). RNAcentral describes it as "tRNA-Cys". It matches the Rfam family "tRNA". From Rfam's summary of the family: Transfer RNA (tRNA) molecules are approximately 80 nucleotides in length. Their secondary structure includes four short double-helical elements and three loops (D, anti-codon, and T loops). Lineage: Eukaryota; Metazoa; Chordata; Actinopteri; Acanthuriformes; Luvaridae. The record is from RNAcentral.
AGCCUUGAGGUGUAAACAUAUCAGAUUGCAAAUCUGAAGUCGCAAGCUAACUGCUUGCCGGGGCUU